Non-coding RNA from Vicia faba (fava bean), 228 nucleotides. The record is from the annotation of a GenBank genome assembly. Lineage: Eukaryota; Viridiplantae; Streptophyta; Magnoliopsida; Fabales; Fabaceae.
AUGCCAUAUGUAGAUCUUUCAUCUGGAAUGACACUCUUUAUGAACAGGAUGUAUAGAGCUAUGAUAGAUGAUAGAAAUCGAGUUCCUUGGAUGGAGGUGCAACAUGACCCCCUUCAUUGGCAAGAAGAACUAUCGUGGACUAUGGGCCAAAACGAAAAAGAAAGGCUAGAAACGGGCUUUGUUAAAGCUGGCUUUCACCGAAACAGUAUAUGGUAUUUGACUUUAUAG